CCGGGAUAAAUCUCCGCCUAUUGAUGUUCCGCUGAAUUAUAGCCAAUCCUUGCCUGUGGAUGCACCACCAGUCCCACCUCCAUAUCGGUCAUCGUCACCACAAAGAGUAUCCCCUCCAAGUCAGUCAUCUGAUCAGUGCUCUUCCUCAUCCACAUCCACAAUGCCAUCUUUUUGGUCUUCACCAUGCCACCAGUCAGCUCCUAGGUCUACGCCACAUGGGUCUACGUCAUCUGUUCCAAUUUCUCACUCUUCUGCCAACACCAUGUCUUCUCCUUGGUCUGUGCCUCAUCGCCAGUCAGCUCCUGUGUCUACGGAACAUGGCCCGUCAUCUGUUCCGUUUUGUGUGUGUGUGUAAGCUAUUGGGUGUCUUAAAUUACCCUUGGGAUGAAUAAAGUAUCUAUCUUUCUCUCUCUCUCUCUCUCUCUCCAGCGUUUUUCUACUAGGGCAAGGUCCUUUCAUCAUACAUCUCCACGAUCACCAGUGCCGCCUGCUCAAUCCUCAUUCUCUCCACCCAGAUUCCAAGCCAGUUCUGACGCCUCUACAUUUUUUAGGCCAUCAUUCAGGAUUGGGCAAUA
Molecule: long non-coding RNA, 575 nt
Organism: Alosa sapidissima (American shad)
Lineage: Eukaryota; Metazoa; Chordata; Actinopteri; Clupeiformes; Clupeidae
Exons: 3
Source: RefSeq, a predicted model, not a curated record